Molecule: ribosomal RNA, 890 nt
Filed under: uncultured Planctomycetota bacterium
Lineage: Bacteria; Pseudomonadati; Planctomycetota
Description: bacterial SSU rRNA
Rfam family: Bacterial small subunit ribosomal RNA
Source: RNAcentral
AACGAACGCUGGCGGCGUGGCUAAGACAUGCAAGUCAAACGGUCCAGCACCUAUUUGUUUACAAAUUAGUGCGGGAUAGUGGCGUAAGGGUUAGUAACGGACAGGUAACGUACCCUUUGCUCCGGGAUAGCGUCGUUCGCCUUCGGGCGAACCACCGAAAGGGGCGGUAAUACCGGAAAUAUCAUUUGCCGAUGGGCAGAUGAACAAAGAUUUAUCGGCAAAGGAGCGGCCUAUCUCCUAUCAGCUUGUUGGUGAGGUAAUGGCCCACCAAGGCAAUGACGGGUAGCGGGACUGAGAGGUUGACCCGCAACAUCGGGACUGAGACACUGCCCGGACCUCCACGGAGGGCUGCAGUAACGAAUCUUGCGCAAUGGGCGAAAGCCUGACGCAGCGACGCCGCGUGCGGGAGGAAGUCCCUCGGGAUGUAAACCGCUGUCGAGAGAUUAGAAAGUACGCUUCGGCGUAUUGAUCAGUCUCACAGGAAGUCACGGCUAACUUCGUGCCAGCAGCCGCGGUAAGACGAAGGUGGCAAGCGUUGUUCGGUGUCACUGGGCUUAAAGGGUGUGCAGGCGGAAAGGUUAGCGCCCUGUGAAAUCCCCCGGCUUAACCGGGGAAUCGCUUGGCGAACUGCCUUUCUUGAGGCAAGUAGGGGUGCACGGAACUGUUGGUGGAGCGGUGGAAUGCGUAGAUAUCAACAGGAACGCCGGUGGUGAAAACGGUGCACUGGGCUUGUCCUGACGCUGAGACACGAAAGCGUGGGGAGCGAACGGGAUUAGAUACCCCGGUAGUCCACGCCGUAAACGAUGUCUACUAGGUUGUGGAGGUUCUGACACCUGCACGGCCGAAGCAAAAGUGUUAAGUAGACCGCCUGGGGAGACGGUCGCAAGGCU